Small nucleolar RNA from Hippopotamus amphibius kiboko, 130 nucleotides. RefSeq annotates it as small nucleolar RNA SNORA40. NCBI's taxonomy places the organism in Eukaryota, Metazoa, Chordata, Mammalia, Artiodactyla, Hippopotamidae. The transcript has a single exon. The record is from RefSeq and is a predicted model, not a curated record.
AGUACUUUCCUAGAAAUAAUACUAUUAAAAUGGUUGGACUGACUUACAGACAGGUGCAAAAAUAAAUCCUCUUUUGCAACCCAGAACUCUUUGUUCAGUAUGAGUUUUGAUACAGAUAAGAAGGAACAUG